This 451-nucleotide ribosomal RNA is filed under the name uncultured organism. Its description in RNAcentral is "partial 16S ribosomal RNA". It matches the Rfam family "Bacterial small subunit ribosomal RNA", at positions 331 to 798 of the family's 1533-position model. The record is from RNAcentral.
GUACACUCCUACGGGAGGCAGCAGUGGGGAAUAUUGGACAAUGGGCGCAAGCCUGAUCCAGCCAUGCCGCGUGAGUGAUGAAGGCCCUAGGGUUGUAAAGCUCUUUCACCGGUGAAGAUAAUGACGGUAACCGGAGAAGAAGCCCCGGCUAACUUCGUGCCAGCAGCCGCGGUAAUACGAAGGGGGCUAGCGUUGUUCGGAUUUACUGGGCGUAAAGCGCACGUAGGCGGACUAUUAAGUCAGGGGUGAAAUCCCGGGGCUCAACCCCGGAACUGCCUUUGAUACUGGUAGUCUUGAGUUCGAGAGAGGUGAGUGGAAUUCCGAGUGUAGAGGUGAAAUUCGUAGAUAUUCGGAGGAACACCAGUGGCGAAGGCGGCUCACUGGCUCGAUACUGACGCUGAGGUGCGAAAGCGUGGGGAGCAAACAGGAUUAGAAACCCUAGUAGUCCCAU